This 897-nucleotide long non-coding RNA is filed under the name Homo sapiens (human). Its description in RNAcentral is "HSALNT0379644". Lineage: Eukaryota; Metazoa; Chordata; Mammalia; Primates; Hominidae. The record is from RNAcentral.
UUUAUCGGAAGAUAUUUCCUUUUUCACCGUAGGCCUCAAAGCGCUCCAAAUGUCCACUUCCACAUACUACAAAAAGAGUGUUUCAAACCUGCUCUAUGAUAGGGAAUGUUGAAACCUAUGAGUUGAAUGCAAACAUUACAAAGAGGUUUCUGAGAAUGCUUCUGUCUAGAUUUUAUAUGUAGAUAUUCCCGUUUCCAACGAAAUCCUCAAAGCUAUCCAAAUAUCAACUUGCAGAUUCUACAAAAGGAAUGUUUCCAAAAUGCUGUAUCCAAACAAAGGUUCAACUCUGUGAAUUGAGGGCAUACAUCACAAAGAAGAUUCUGAGAAUGCUUCUGUCUAGAUUUUAUAUGAAAAUAUUCCCGUUUCCAACGAAAUCCUCAAAGCUAUCCAAAUAUCCACUUGCAAAUGCCACAAAAAGAGUGUUUCCAAACUGCUCUGUGAAAAGGAAGGUUCAACUCUGUUAGUUGAGUACACACAUCACAAAGAGGUUUCUGAGAAUGCUGCUGACUAGUUUUUAUUUGAAGAUAUUUCCCUUUUCACCUUAGGCCUAAGAGUGCUCGAAAUGUCCAUUUCCACAUACUACAAAAAGAGUGUUUCAAACCUGCUGUAUGAAAGGGAAUGUUCAACUCUAUGAGUUGAAUGCAAACAUUACAAAGAGGUUUCUGAGAAUGCUUCUGUCUAGAUUUUAUAUGAAGAUAUUCCCGUUUCCAACGAAAUCCUCAAAUCUAUCCAAAUAUCCACUUGCAAAUUCCACAAAAAGAGUGUUUCAAAACUGCUCUGUCAAAAGGAAGGUUCAACUCCGUUAGUUGAGUACACACAUCACAAAGAGGUUUCUGAGAAUGCUGCUGACUAGUUUUUAUUUGAAGAUAUUUCCCUUUUCACCUUAGGCCUAAGAGC